Molecule: long non-coding RNA, 224 nt
Filed under: Lathyrus oleraceus (garden pea)
Lineage: Eukaryota; Viridiplantae; Streptophyta; Magnoliopsida; Fabales; Fabaceae
Description: Pisum sativum (pea) long non-coding RNA (PSAT_LNC010982)
Source: RNAcentral
UGCUUGUUCUUACUCUCUCAUUUUAUUCAAAAUUUAAAACAAUGCCAAUGCCUUUGUGCCCUAUGGCAUGGAUUUAAAAUAAUAACUAAAAUACAUAACAAACACAAUCCUCUCUCAUUCAUGCAUAUGCAGUAACAGAGAAAAAAUUACAAAAAAAAACUCAUGCUCUCUCUUAUGGCCACUUCUCUCUCAAUAUCACUGUGGUGGGGGGAGGGCAACACCCC